GGGUUGUGAGGUUAAGCGACUAAGCGUACACGGUGGAUGCCCUGGCAGUCAGAGGCGAUGAAGGACGUGCUAAUCUGCGAUAAGCGUCGGUAAGGUGAUAUGAACCGUUAUAACCGGCGAUUUCCGAAUGGGGAAACCCAGUGUGAUUCGUCACACUAUCAUUAACUGAAUCCAUAGGUUAAUGAGGCGAACCGGGGGAACUGAAACAUCUAAGUACCCCGAGGAAAAGAAAUCAACCGAGAUUCCCCCAGUAGCGGCGAGCGAACGGGGAGCAGCCCAGAGCCUGAAUCAGUGUGUGUGUUAGUGGAAGCGUCUGGAAAGGCGCGCGAUACAGGGUGACAGCCCCGUACACAAAAAUGCACAUGCUGUGAGCUCGAUGAGUAGGGCGGGACACGUGGUAUCCUGUCUGAAUAUGGGGGGACCAUCCUCCAAGGCUAAAUACUCCUGACUGACCGAUAGUGAACCAGUACCGUGAGGGAAAGGCGAAAAGAACCCCGGCGAGGGGAGUGAAAAAGAACCUGAAACCGUGUACGUACAAGCAGUGGGAGCCUCUUUAUGGGGUGACUGCGUACCUUUUGUAUAAUGGGUCAGCGACUUAUAUUCUGUAGCAAGGUUAACCGAAUAGGGGAGCCGAAGGGAAACCGAGUCUUAACUGGGCGUUAAGUUGCAGGGUAUAGACCCGAAACCCGGUGAUCUAGCCAUGGGCAGGUUGAAGGUUGGGUAACACUAACUGGAGGACCGAACCGACUAAUGUUGAAAAAUUAGCGGAUGACUUGUGGCUGGGGGUGAAAGGCCAAUCAAACCGGGAGAUAGCUGGUUCUCCCCGAAAGCUAUUUAGGUAGCGCCUCGUGAAUUCAUCUCCGGGGGUAGAGCACUGUUUCGGCAAGGGGGUCAUCCCGACUUACCAACCCGAUGCAAACUGCGAAUACCGGAGAAUGUUAUCACGGGAGACACACGGCGGGUGCUAACGUCCGUCGUGAAGAGGGAAACAACCCAGACCGCCAGCUAAGGUCCCAAAGUCAUGGUUAAGUGGGAAACGAUGUGGGAAGGCCCAGACAGCCAGGAUGUUGGCUUAGAAGCAGCCAUCAUUUAAAGAAAGCGUAAUAGCUCACUGGUCGAGUCGGCCUGCGCGGAAGAUGUAACGGGGCUAAACCAUGCACCGAAGCUGCGGCAGCGACGCUUAUGCGUUGUUGGGUAGGGGAGCGUUCUGUAAGCCUGUGAAGGUGUACUGUGAGGUAUGCUGGAGGUAUCAGAAGUGCGAAUGCUGACAUAAGUAACGAUAAAGCGGGUGAAAAGCCCGCUCGCCGGAAGACCAAGGGUUCCUGUCCAACGUUAAUCGGGGCAGGGUGAGUCGACCCCUAAGGCGAGGCCGAAAGGCGUAGUCGAUGGGAAACAGGUUAAUAUUCCUGUACUUGGUGUUACUGCGAAGGGGGGACGGAGAAGGCUAUGUUGGCCGGGCGACGGUUGUCCCGGUUUAAGCGUGUAGGCUGGUUUUCCAGGCAAAUCCGGAAAAUCAAGGCUGAGGCGUGAUGACGAGGCACUACGGUGCUGAAGCAACAAAUGCCCUGCUUCCAGGAAAAGCCUCUAAGCAUCAGGUAACAUCAAAUCGUACCCCAAACCGACACAGGUGGUCAGGUAGAGAAUACCAAGGCGCUUGAGAGAACUCGGGUGAAGGAACUAGGCAAAAUGGUGCCGUAACUUCGGGAGAAGGCACGCUGAUAUGUAGGUGAAGCGACUUGCUCGUGGAGCUGAAAUCAGUCGAAGAUACCAGCUGGCUGCAACUGUUUAUUAAAAACACAGCACUGUGCAAACACGAAAGUGGACGUAUACGGUGUGACGCCUGCCCGGUGCCGGAAGGUUAAUUGAUGGGGUCAGCGCAAGCGAAGCUCUUGAUCGAAGCCCCGGUAAACGGCGGCCGUAACUAUAACGGUCCUAAGGUAGCGAAAUUCCUUGUCGGGUAAGUUCCGACCUGCACGAAUGGCGUAAUGAUGGCCAGGCUGUCUCCACCCGAGACUCAGUGAAAUUGAACUCGCUGUGAAGAUGCAGUGUACCCGCGGCAAGACGGAAAGACCCCGUGAACCUUUACUAUAGCUUGACACUGAACAUUGAGCCUUGAUGUGUAGGAUAGGUGGGAGGCUUUGAAGUGUGGACGCCAGUCUGCAUGGAGCCGACCUUGAAAUACCACCCUUUAAUGUUUGAUGUUCUAACGUGGACCCGUAAUCCGGGUUGCGGACAGUGUCUGGUGGGUAGUUUGACUGGGGCGGUCUCCUCCUAAAGAGUAACGGAGGAGCACGAAGGUUGGCUAAUCCUGGUCGGACAUCAGGAGGUUAGUGCAAUGGCAUAAGCCAGCUUGACUGCGAGCGUGACGGCGCGAGCAGGUGCGAAAGCAGGUCAUAGUGAUCCGGUGGUUCUGAAUGGAAGGGCCAUCGCUCAACGGAUAAAAGGUACUCCGGGGAUAACAGGCUGAUACCGCCCAAGAGUUCAUAUCGACGGCGGUGUUUGGCACCUCGAUGUCGGCUCAUCACAUCCUGGGGCUGAAGUAGGUCCCAAGGGUAUGGCUGUUCGCCAUUUAAAGUGGUACGCGAGCUGGGUUUAGAACGUCGUGAGACAGUUCGGUCCCUAUCUGCCGUGGGCGCUGGAGAACUGAGGGGGGCUGCUCCUAGUACGAGAGGACCGGAGUGGACGCAUCACUGGUGUUCGGGUUGUCAUGCCAAUGGCACUGCCCGGUAGCUAAAUGCGGAAGAGAUAAGUGCUGAAAGCAUCUAAGCACGAAACUUGCCCCGAGAUGAGUUCUCCCUGACUCCUUGAGAGUCCUGAAGGAACGUUGAAGACGACGACGUUGAUAGGCCGGGUGUGUAAGCGCAGCGAUGCGUUGAGCUAACCGGUACUAAUGAACCGUGAGGCUUAACCUUACAACGCCGAAGGUGUUU
This 2930-nucleotide ribosomal RNA is filed under the name Shigella flexneri. Its description in RNAcentral is "23S ribosomal RNA". It matches the Rfam family "Bacterial large subunit ribosomal RNA". Lineage: Bacteria; Pseudomonadati; Pseudomonadota; Gammaproteobacteria; Enterobacterales; Enterobacteriaceae. The record is from RNAcentral.